This 496-nucleotide ribosomal RNA is filed under the name uncultured bacterium. Its description in RNAcentral is "bacterial SSU rRNA". It matches the Rfam family "Bacterial small subunit ribosomal RNA", at positions 23 to 507 of the family's 1533-position model. The record is from RNAcentral.
CUCAGGAUGAACGCUAGCUACAGGCUUAACACAUGCAAGUCGAGGGGAAACGACAUCGAAAGCUUGCUUUUGGUGGGCGUCGACCGGCGCACGGGUGAGUAACGCGUAUCCAACCUGCCACCACUUGGGGAUAACCUUGCGAAAGUAAGACUAAUACCCAAUGAUAUCCCACGAAGGCAUCGGAAUGGGAUUAAAGAUUUAUCGGUGAUGGAUGGGGAUGCGUCUGAUUAGCUUGUUGGCGGGGUAACGGCCCACCAAGGCGACGAUCAGUAGGGGUUCUGAGAGGAAGGUCCCCCACAUUGGAACUGAGACACGGUCCAAACUCCUACGGGAGGCAGCAGUGAGGAAUAUUGGUCAAUGGGCGAGAGCCUGAACCAGCCAAGUAGCGUGCAGGAAGACGGCCCUAUGGGUUGUAAACUGCUUUUAUAGGGGAAUAAAGUGAGCCACGUGUGGUUUUUUGCAUGUACCCUAUGAAUAAGGACCGGCUAAUUCCGUG